Molecule: ribosomal RNA, 393 nt
Filed under: Clostridioides difficile
Lineage: Bacteria; Bacillati; Bacillota; Clostridia; Peptostreptococcales; Peptostreptococcaceae
Description: partial 23S ribosomal RNA
Rfam family: Bacterial large subunit ribosomal RNA
Source: RNAcentral
UCGGCUCAUCACAUCCUGGGGCUGUAGUAGGUCCCAAGGGUUGGGCUGUUCGCCCAUUAAAGUGGUACGCGAGCUGGGUUCAGAACGUCGUGAGACAGUUCGGUCCCUAUCCGUCGCAGGCGUAGGAAAUUUGAGAAGACCUGUCCUUAGUACGAGAGGACCGGGAUGGACGUACCUCUGGUGUACCAGUUGUUCUGCCAAGGGCAUGGCUGGGUAGCUAUGUACGGAAUGGAUAAGCGCUGAAAGCAUCUAAGCGCGAAGCCAACUUCAAGAUAAGAUUUCCCACCGCAAGGGUAAGACCCCAGAAAGACUAUCUGGUUGAUAGGUCGAAGGUGUAAGUGCAGCAAUGUAUUUAGCUUAUCGAUACUAAUAGGUCGAGGACUUGACCAAAUU